AACCCCUCCCCCUUAACAGAUACACAGCUCAUAGUAGAGAUGGAGGUUCUUGCAACCAAUUCUUCAUUUGACCUGUGUGUGUGUGUGUGUGUGUGUGUGUGUGUGUGUGUGUGUGUCUCAGUGUGGCUCUAGGCUUUGGGCCCGUCAUCUAGACGGUAACGUUUCCAUGGAACCAUCCCCUCUAGGUAAAUCUCCCGAACUUCAGGCUACAAAUAGUUCUGCAAUUUCAUAUGCACAUAAAAUGGGCCUGAAGAACACACACACACACACACACACACACACACACACACACACACACACACAACUCACAAUCUAUUAUAGACACACACAACUCACAAUCUAUUAUACACACACACACACAAACUCACCACAUACCACGCACAGUACUGUUACAGAUUGAGAAACCCGUUGUUACUCUGAGAUAAAUAUCUAUUGACCUGACAAAUAAGUCAUUUUAUAGAAAGACUUCAAUAAUAUAUGGUUCGGUCUUAACCCAAAUGUAUGACAUAAGUAUUAUGUGAAACAUAUGUAGCUUGUGUAAUGCAAAAUAACAAUUCCUAAUACAUAUGGGCUGCAGGUAGCCUAGUGGUUAGAGUGGGGGAGGCAGGUAGCCUAGUGGUUAGAGUGGGGGAGGCAGGUAGCCUAGUGGUUAGAGUGUAGGGGAGGCAGGGCAGCCUAGUGGUUAGAGUGUGGGGGCGGCAGGUAGCCUAGUGGUUAGAGUGUUGGGCCAGUGACCUGAAAGUAGUUAGUAUAUAUACAGUAGUUAGUAUAUUCAGAUAGCUAGGUGAGACAACCACAUAUCACAGUAGUUAGUAUAUUCAGAUAUCUUCAGACCCAUCCCCAGUGCCCAGUCCACAGUCCUAUUCCCCAAUCCAUUACCUCAGCAGUACCAGUCAGUCCAUUACCUCAGCAGUACCAGUCAG
Oncorhynchus tshawytscha (Chinook salmon) is the source of this 923-nucleotide long non-coding RNA. Lineage: Eukaryota; Metazoa; Chordata; Actinopteri; Salmoniformes; Salmonidae. The record is from Ensembl.